Molecule: ribosomal RNA, 337 nt
Filed under: uncultured eukaryote
Lineage: Eukaryota
Description: partial 18S ribosomal RNA
Rfam family: Eukaryotic small subunit ribosomal RNA
Source: RNAcentral
CCCUUAGAUGUUCUGGGCCGCACGCGCGCUACACUGACGGAUUCAACGAGCUUACAACCUUGGCCGAAAGGUCUGGGUAAUCUCCAAAAUCCGUCGUGAUGGGGAUAGAUUAUUGCAAUUAUUAAUCUUCAACGAGGAAUGCCUAGUAAGCGCAAGUCAUCAGCUUGCGUUGAUUACGUCCCUGCCCUUUGUACACACCGCCCGUCGCUACUACCGAUUGGAUGGUUUAGUGAGACCCUCGGAUCGGUCCCGACUCGGGGUGGGCUUCUGCCCCGGUCGUGGUUUCGCCGAGAAGACGGUCAAACUUGACUAUCUAGAGGAAGUAAAAGUCGUAACA